GAGUUUGAUCCUGGCUCAGAUUGAACGCUGGCGGCAUGCCUUACACAUGCAAGUCGAACGGCAGCACGGGAGCUUGCUCCUGGUGGCGAGUGGCGAACGGGUGAGUAAUGCAUCGGAACGUAUCCUGGAGUGGGGGAUAACGUAGCGAAAGUUACGCUAAUACCGCAUAUUCUGUGAGCAGGAAAGCGGGGGACCUUCGGGCCUCGCGCUCUUGGAGCGGCCGAUGUCGGAUUAGCUAGUUGGUGAGGUAAAGGCUCACCAAGGCGACGAUCCGUAGCAGGUCUGAGAGGAUGAUCUGCCACACUGGAACUGAGACACGGUCCAGACUCCUACGGGAGGCAGCAGUGGGGAAUUUUGGACAAUGGGGGCAACCCUGAUCCAGCCAUGCCGCGUGAGUGGAGAAGGCCUCGGUU
RNAcentral lists this ribosomal RNA (413 nucleotides) under bacterium enrichment culture clone ALO1_GLFRUDD03GB7MV. RNAcentral describes it as "bacterial SSU rRNA". It matches the Rfam family "Bacterial small subunit ribosomal RNA", at positions 9 to 424 of the family's 1533-position model. The record is from RNAcentral.